This 449-nucleotide ribosomal RNA is filed under the name uncultured bacterium. Its description in RNAcentral is "partial 16S ribosomal RNA". It matches the Rfam family "Bacterial small subunit ribosomal RNA", at positions 29 to 523 of the family's 1533-position model. The record is from RNAcentral.
AACGAACGCUGGCGGCAGGCCUAAUACAUGCAAGUCGAACGGAUGUAGCAAUACAUUAGUGGCGCACGGGUGCCUAACGCGUGGGAACAUACCCUUGAGUAAGGAAUAAUGUCUGGGAACGGACACUAAUACCUUAUAAUGACUUCGGUCCAAAGAUUAAUCGCUCAAGGAUUGGCCCGCGUCUGAUUAGCUAGUUGGUGAGGUAACGGCUCACCAAGGCGACGAUCAGUAGCUGGUCUGAGAGGAGGAUCAGCCACACUGGGACUGAGACACUGCCUAGACUCCAACGGGAGGCAGCAGUAAGGAAUAUUGGACAAUGGAGGAAACGCUGAUCCAGCCAUGCCGCGAGUGAAGAAGGCCUUAGGGUUGUAAAGCUCUUUCAAUGGUGAAGAUAAUGACGGUAGCCAUAGAAGAAGCCCCGGCUAAAUUCGUGCCAGCCGCCGCCGUAA